GUGCCAGCAGCCGCGGUAAUACGUAGGGACCAAGCGUUGUUCGGAUUUACUGGGCGUAAAGGGCGCGUAGGCGGCAUAUUAAGUCAGCUGUGAAAUCUCCGAGCUUAACUCGGAACUGUCAGCUGAUACUGAUGUGCUAGAGUGCAGAAAGGGCAAUCGGAAUUCUUGGUGUAGCGGUGAAAUGCGUAGAUAUCAAGAGGAACACCUGAGGCGAAGGCGGGUUGCUAGGCUGACACUGACGCUGAGUGCGCGAAAGCCAGGGGAGCAAACGGGAUUAGAUACCCGAGUAGUCC
RNAcentral lists this ribosomal RNA (293 nucleotides) under uncultured bacterium. RNAcentral's name for it is "partial 16S ribosomal RNA". It matches the Rfam family "Bacterial small subunit ribosomal RNA", at positions 505 to 796 of the family's 1533-position model. The record is from RNAcentral.